GAUGAACGCUGGCGGCGUGCCUAAUACAUGCAAGUCGAGCGAACAGAUGAGGAUCUUGCUCCUCUUACGUUAGCGGCGGACGGGUGAGUAACACGUGGAUAACCUACCUAUAAGACUGGGAUAACUUCGGGAAACCGGAGCUAAUACCGGAUAAUAUAUUGAACCGCAUGGUUCUAUAGUGAAAGACGGUUUUGCUGUCACUUAUAGAUGGAUCCGCGCCGCAUUAGCUAGUUGGUAAGGUAACGGCUUACCAAGGCAACGAUGCGUAGCCGACCUGAGAGGGUGAUCGGCCACACUGGAACUGAGACACGGUCCAGACUCCUACGGGAGGCAGCAGUAGGGAAUCUUCCGCAAUGGGCGAAAGCCUGACGGAGCAACGCCGCGUGAGUGAUGAAGGUCUUCGGAUCGUAAAACUCUGUUAUUAGGGAAGAACAAAUGUGUAAGUAACUAUGCACGUCUUGACGGUACCUAAUCAGAAAGCCACGGCUAACUACGUG
RNAcentral lists this ribosomal RNA (497 nucleotides) under uncultured bacterium. RNAcentral describes it as "partial 16S ribosomal RNA". It matches the Rfam family "Bacterial small subunit ribosomal RNA", at positions 28 to 507 of the family's 1533-position model. The record is from RNAcentral.